Long non-coding RNA from Salvelinus sp. IW2-2015, 767 nucleotides. RefSeq lists it as uncharacterized. The record is from RefSeq and is a predicted model, not a curated record. Lineage: Eukaryota; Metazoa; Chordata; Actinopteri; Salmoniformes; Salmonidae.
CAGUCAGUCUGAUUACUCUUACCAUUAUGAUUGCAAUUAUAAUUGUAGGUUGUUUUAAUGUUUGUCAUGGCUUUCCUGAAAUUUGAGAUCCCGCUUACUAGUUUAUCAGAGGCAAAGCUGUGUGAAGGGUCUGGAACUGAAGUUGAUGGGGAUGUGUUUGAGGAGGUGGUGACAUGGCCAGACCUUGUGUUUUCAAGCUCACGCUGACCAAUGAUGCUAAAGCUAAUAGAGAGCAUACUGAAGAAAAGGCCUGGUGGAGAGGUCAUCAAGGAAUACACUCCAAAACUAAAAGCCUGACUGACUGCACCAGACUAAAGAUGAUCAACAUUCUUGUUUCGGCGAUGACGGCGACUCAUGGGACAUCACCACUGCGUGAGAGAAACGUUUGCACAAGGCAUCAUCUCCUUGUUCCCAUACCUGAAGGAUCCCUACACCACAAAUGGAUAUAUUGAGAAGGAUUUUGUGCUGCUGUUUGGAGAGGGAACAUCAGUCAAGUUUUUGGAGAGGUGGCCAACUACAUUCAAGCAAAAUAUCAUCCUUCUAAGCAAGSCAGAAUCUGCAGUUGAUGAGGGAGCUGAGGGGGAUGAGGGAGCUGACACGAAUGCUGAUGGAUGGGACGGUGACCUUUCCUCCAUCCUUCCCCUGCUCCAUUUGACUCCUCCUUCAUCACAAGGCCGCAAAAGACCAGGCAAGAUGUCUGCAUCCCAAGCUGAACAGCAUCUUGUGAUAUUCCAAAAGGUUUGUAUUGGCAUUCUUAUUCAUGGACA